AGAGUUUGAUCCUGGCUCAGAACGAACGCUGGCGGCGUGCUUAACACAUGCAAGUCGAACGUGAUCCAGAGCUUGCUCUGGUGAAAGUGGCGCACGGGUGAGUAACGCGUGGAUAACCUGCCCUGGUAUYUGGGAUAACAUCUCGAAAGGGGUGCUAAUACCGGAUAAGCCUACGGGGUCUUCGGACUCUGCAGGAAAAGGUGGCCUCUAUUUAUAAGCUACCGUAUCAGGAUGGGUCCGCGUACCAUUAGCUAGUUGGUGGGGUAAUGGCCCACCAAGGCGACGAUGGUUAGCUGGUCUGAGAGGAUGAUCAGCCACACUGGAACUGAGACACGGUCCAGACUCCUACGGGAGGCAGCAGUGGGGAAUUUUGCGCAAUGGGGGAAACCCUGACGCAGCAACGCCGCGUGAGUGAUGAAGGCUUUCGGGUCGUAAAGCUCUGUCAGAGGGGAAGAAAUGAGCCUGGCUAAUAUCCAGGUUUCUUGACGGUACCCUCAAAGGAAGCACCGGCUAACUCCGUGCCAGCAGCCGCGGUAAU
This 538-nucleotide ribosomal RNA is filed under the name uncultured Geobacter sp. Its description in RNAcentral is "bacterial SSU rRNA". It matches the Rfam family "Bacterial small subunit ribosomal RNA", at positions 8 to 524 of the family's 1533-position model. RNAcentral also lists the same sequence under 1 other name. Lineage: Bacteria; Pseudomonadati; Thermodesulfobacteriota; Desulfuromonadia; Geobacterales; Geobacteraceae. The record is from RNAcentral.